This is an RNA transcript of Scylla paramamosain (green mud crab), 2617 nucleotides long. RefSeq lists it as uncharacterized. The transcript has 7 exons. Lineage: Eukaryota; Metazoa; Arthropoda; Malacostraca; Decapoda; Portunidae. The record is from RefSeq and is a predicted model, not a curated record.
CCAGUUCAGAAGUAAGGUAUCUUAAAUUGCACUCGACAAUGUUGUGAAUACUUUAAAAUGCUUGAAGCCAUACUUGAUGCCUUCCAUAACGUGUAAAGUAAGAAGUUAGCCUGUGUUAAAAAGUGGUGAUCCCUGCAGAUUACCAAGGCAUUCAGUCUCCCAGCAAGUGCCAAGAGGCAUUCAUUCAAUGCUCCGCUGACACCAAUUUGCCCAAAGAAUAUUUAUGUGGGAGACUCCUCAGAUUGUGGAGACCCCAGAUUGUGGAGGCUCCUGGGCAGCUGGUCUUUUUGUGGACUCCUAAAUCUGGCACUGAACAAAAUUCUCUCUCUCUCUCUCUCUCUCUCUCUCUCUCUCUCUCUCUCUCUCUCUCUCUCUCUCUCUCUCUCUCUCUCUCUCUCUCUCUCUCUCUCUCUGUCUCUCUCUCUCUCUCUCUCUCUCUCUCUCUCUCUCUCUCUCUCUCUCUCUCUCUCUCUCUCUCUCUCUCUCUCUCUCUCUCUCUCUCUCUCUCUCUCUCUCUCUCUCUCUCUCUCUCUCUCUCUCUCUCUCUCUCUCUCUCUCCUCAACUCUCAACCACUGGAUGGUAUAUCAGUUCACACAGCAAGAAGCCAAGGACCCACCGAGGCUGUCACUUGGAAGAGGUCAUUGUUGUUGCAUCCAGCAUCCCAGCCUGACUGCCUAGACAGGUCCCGCAGGUUGCUGAAUGGCAGAGGUGCAGGCUGCUCCACAGCAAGAUGUGAGACCAGUGUGGCAGAGUAUGAUGUGUACACAAUGAGGGACACACUGUAGCCAACCCAGUAGAUUACCCGUGCUGCAGUGCUGAUUGGGUCCUCACCUUGUUGUAGGAGAGCUGACAACAUGUACCAGCCAGCAGCAACUCCCAUGCUAACAGGCUUCUCCCCCGUGGGUAUGUAGCACCUCUGGAGUCGCUCGAUGAAGAAGAGGAUGCUGGCGAGGCCUGUCGUGUUAGCCGGGAUGCGCCGGUACAGAGCUGUGUCCGUUGGGGUUGUGUAGGCAAGCAUCUUCUUGGCAAGGUCCUCGUAGGUGGCCGCAAACAGUUUACGGCUGUGGGAUGAGAACUUGUCUUGUGAAUGUGACGUUGGGGUGAGUGUUAAUCUGAUUUUGUGUUACUAUGUUCUGUGGGGAGUGGGUGUUAAUGUGAUUUUUUGUUAACUGAAUGCUGUGUCUGACCUCCUGAGGUGUAGUAUGGUGGGCCACAAGAUUGUCCCUUUCCACUAGGGGCUGACAGAUGAUAUUAAGAGUGUGAAUGUGUGUGUGGUGUUAACGUGCUGGAGUGUGCACAGCCAGGAGUGUUUGGGGAAUGAAAAUAAAAGGAGUUAUGGAUGUUUAAAAAUGCAUCUUUUGAGAGCUAAGUAUACAAGAAAGUUGGUGUGUUUGGGGAAUGAGUAAACAAUGAAGAAAUGUUUUGAGGAACUGGGUGUGCAGAGGCAGGAGUGUUUGGAGAAUGAGAAUACAGGAAGACAGGAAUGAUUUGGGAAUAAGUGUACAAGAAAGGAGUGUUUGAGUGACAAUAUAUAAGGAAGAGGUGUUUUGAAAAUGAGAGUACAAGGAAUGAGCAUUUUGGGAGUUAAUAUACAAGGAAGCAAGUAUUUAAGGGACAAGUAUACAAGAUUAUUUUCCUGUCAUAUGUCAUUAUACAAUGUUUUUCUUUGUUAUAUACAUCAUUCCCUUUCACUUUUCAUAUCUUGUGUUCUCGUCAUUCUGAUGUAAUGUUACAGAUAGAGAAUGUUUGGUGUCAAAUUUUCACUAAUUUCAUAUGUGUAUAAACUUUCAUUUCAUUGACUUUUUUUUACUAUUACUACUAUAUUUGCUUGCUUUUUAAACAAGUCUUUUCUUUCAGAGGAGGGGAAGCACAGGGGAAGAGGAGGACGAGGAGGAAGAGAGUUAAGAGUCACAAGAGGAGGAGGGAAGGUGGAAAGAAAGAGGAAGGAGAGGAGGAGGAGGAGGAGGAGGAGGAGGAGAGGAAGAUGGAGAAGGAAAGGAGAAAGAUAAGAAGGAAGGAAAUGCCGCAGAAGGAGAAGAGCAAUAAGAAAUUAGAAUUGACAGAGAAACCAGACAAGGGACUGCAUUUGAAGAAGCACAAGAACCAAGAAAUUACAUCAUUCAAUGAAAUGACAACAUAAUCUAAAAUAGAAAUAAAAAACAUCACAAGACAGAAUAGUGAGCUGCAUGCACCUUAUCACAGAGUAUAAAGUCACUCCCUCAGAGGAAAAAGACAAGGAUGGCACGUCUUCAUGUGAGAACUCAGAAGCUAAAUGUACAGAUACCAAGGGGAAAUUGCUGGGUCAAGUGGCUACACUGACAUCUGAGGUUAGCAGGUUGGAGAGUGAGUGCAGCAGUCUUCAGGUUCAGCUAGACUGUGAGAGGGAUAAGUAUAACAAACUGCUGGGAGAAUCUCUUGCUCAUGAAAAGUUGUCUGAAGAUGUCAUAACUGAACCAAAAGGAGAAACAACAGGAUUGGGAGGAACUGAGCUUUAACAGAAGCUGCAACAACUGCAGGAGGCUCACAGGGUCCUGGAGAGCAGGUUAACUUGCAGCAUGAAGGAGGUGGCUGAGCUGAGUGACAGGAAGUAGCAGCUUGAGCAUGCUGUAGUGCAUG